GGGUCAGUAGGUUGGUCGUGCCACCGGUACGUACUGGUCUCACUGAUUCCUCCCUCCUGAAGAACCGUAAUGCCAUUAAUUUGGUGUUGCGGGGAAACAGGACUGUUACUAUGAAAAAAUUAGAGUGUUUAAAGCAAGCUAACGCUUGAAUACAUUAGCAUGGAAUAAUGAAAUAGGACGAUCGAUCCUAUUUUGUUGGUUUCUAGGAUUGACGUA
This 216-nucleotide ribosomal RNA is filed under the name Glomeromycotina sp. RNAcentral describes it as "partial small subunit ribosomal RNA". The stretch from base 75 to 216 matches the Rfam family "Eukaryotic small subunit ribosomal RNA", at positions 721 to 864 of the family's 1831-position model. The record is from RNAcentral. Lineage: Eukaryota; Fungi; Glomeromycota.